RNAcentral lists this long non-coding RNA (10385 nucleotides) under Homo sapiens (human). Its description in RNAcentral is "HSALNT0061192". The record is from RNAcentral. Lineage: Eukaryota; Metazoa; Chordata; Mammalia; Primates; Hominidae.
CUGUCGGGAAGGAGGGGUGUGGCCUAGACCACUAAGGGCCGUGACGUGGUGCCGCUGAGCUUGGACCCCGACCAGAAGAUAGAGAUUGAAACGAUGAGGAAAACGAAGUGCCUAAUCCCCGCUGGACGCUAACUGCAGGGCAAGCUCCCCAGUGUUGUAGUUGUGUUUCGGAGGCCGAGAACCGCUAUCGGGCUUCCUCGGACUCUGGCCCUGGAGGGGGGAAACGGCGAGGGAGAAGGCGAAACGAGUCUCCAGUGUGUUCUUGGGGCCUGGUGCGAGGCCCAGAGAAUUCUCUGCAGGCCUUUGCCCGGGCACUGAUUAAGGCUGCGAAGAGACGCACCGGGCUGCGGGCUUAGUAGCUUCAGGCUUCUGAAGUCAGAGGGAGGGCUGAGAGCUUACACUUCUGGAGCUCCCCGGGAGACGGCAACUACCCAACCGUGUGGGUGUGUUUGUGUAUGUGUCUUUUGUUGAGCUUCGGCUGGCUGUGUUAUUCAUUCAACAAAUAUUUAUCGAUCUUCGGCAGUGUGUCAGACAUACCUUCUUCUCAAAUCUUCACAUCAAACCUGAAUUAUCUCCAUUUAAUGAUGAGGAAACUCGGGCUCAAAGAAGUUAAGUGUUCUAGCCAAGACUGCAUAGAACAUGGAGGAGACAUAUUUCCACCUAUUUCUCUCCAUAAGUAUAAAAGACCAUAAAAGACCAUCUAGGGACUUCAGAACCCAAAUAAUGACACAAUGUUAAUUUGCAGGUUCUCCCUCUGCCUGCCACCCCACCCAGCAAGGAGGAGAGGAAGUGUUGAGAAGGGAAGAGAUGAGUCCUGGCCCUGUCACUUCUUAGGGGUGUGCUUUUGAACAACCUGCUCACCAUGUAUGAACUUCACUCUUCUUGUUUAUAAAAUGAGGACAAUGACACCUGCAAGACUGUGAGGUUUAAAAACAAAAUCUGUGUUGAGAGGUAACUUGCCUCUUUUACUUACCAAUGAUUUCCUCAAUGCCUGGUGACUGGGGCUGGUUCAUACUAGACGAUCAAUAAAUGCUCCUUGAAUGAAUAGGUGGAUGAAAGAAAUGUCUGGCAUCUAUCACAGGUGCUGGCACUGAUAAGUGCUUGAUAAAUAGGCUGGCUGACUGUGAGUGAUGCUGACGGGCAAAGGACAGAGACACCAGGAAGGAGAACAGGACACGAAAGAUAACUGUCUCAGCCCUUGGGGAGUUUCUGACCCAGGAGGAUGGGAACAUCAAUUAUCAAUAGUUACAGAUCAUUAAAUAAUUGCAAGUGUGAGGCGCACUAUAAAGAGGAGGCUCAGAGUCCCCGCAUGCUCACACUCACACCUGGCCACAGACAGGUGACACCCCUGGCUUGCCCAGGCCAGCGGGUCUGCAAUGAGGCCAAGGACCUGGGCUCUUGAGAAGUUUUAAGUUUGAAAACAUUGCUUUUUAAGCUUAAAACAAUGAACCUUAAUAAAAGUAAACACUUCCAUUGAGCUUUGAAACACUUAAUAGGAGUUAAAAGUAAUUAGGCUAAUAAAAUAGUCUUUUGUUCCAAUUCAAUAAGUGCUUUCUUUUAUUAACUUCAUUGUCCUUUAAGAUUGGGAUUAAGGUUUGUCUGCAUUUGGAAAAGGUCACAUUUGCCCAAAGACUGAUGGGUGAUAACAGUAAGGCAGCCCCCUGCACAGGGAGAGGCCAGUAAGAGCCUGGGCUCCAUGAAACUGCAUUUCAACUCCAACCCUGAUGUCCUGCCUGUCUCCUGGGCAUGUUUAUCUUACACUGCUAAGCAUCAGUCUCAUUUGUACAGUGAGAAUAAUAUCACUGUGUAAGGUUGUAUUGAGAAUUAAGAGAGCUCACGUAUGCCUGUAAAGUACCUGGCAUACCGCAGGGUACAAGGAGGGCGUUGUUAGCUGUGAUGGCCCCUUUCCUUCUUCCCUUUACUUCAGAGGUGACCUCUCCAAAUCACAUUUAGUCCUUAAACCUCAGGUCAGGCGAUAGUGCUGAUGGGCAACCCUCCCACCCAGGUUUGGCUGCAAGUCACUCCUCUGGGCUCCUCUGGGCUCCUACAGCCUCCCGCAUGGUCCCUCUCAUGCAUCCUUGUGAUGGUCUGACCAGGAGCUUCUUGAGGACAGGGGUUGGGGCCACUUGCCUGCGUGCUUCUCCAUGCCCAUUUGCUAUCAGAUGCCUUCCCCUUUCUGCUCUGCACUGCGGGGAACUACAUUUUCCAGGCUCCCUGGGCAGUGGCAGGCUUCCGGCUAGUUUCUACCAAGGGGAGCGCUGAUGGGAGAUGAAAAAGUGGGAAAAAAGGAGAAGCCAGGAUGCUUCUCUGUCUCGUCUUCCUUUUUCUCUUUCAGGGGUUUUUGGUAGUGGCUGUGUCUCCCUGAUAGCUCCUCUCUAUGAUCCAGCCCUGCUUGGCAGCCCUGGCUUCUGGGUUCUGAAAACACCACGUUCCUCCUUGUGUCCCUCUAUCUAGUAAUUGGCAGCUUUCUGAUGUUGCUAAGUUCUGACUUGCUUCACCAUCUCCUAUUUGGCUCCUCAGCUUUUCCAUCUUCUGUGUAACCUGUUCCCCGUACUAAAUUUCCUCUGUGUGAAAUGCCUAGCAUGGUUUCUGUUUCCGUGGUGGGACUCAGACGGAUACAUUCUGUGUCCCUAAGCCUCUGACACAGCACCUGACCCAUGAUAGGAUCUCAGGAAGCUCUUUUUUGGCUGAGUACAUUUCCCAUUGUAAUAUUCCCCAAAGGUGGGAUUUUGUUCAUCUUUUUACAGGCUUUCCUCUGGCCCUCCCUUGCUUUCUGUAGCUUUAGCAGGCCAGAAGCAUGAGGAGCAAUUAAAGUGAGCACCAGCCCCAGAAAAGUAGUGAUCAAAUGUUUAAAGUUCUUGAAAAUUCUGUCUAGUUCAUUUCUAUUUCAUUUUCUUAAGCCCCAGAUUCUAAUUGUAUCUGUCUACACAACAAGUGUAAUCAGGGAGCCAAAAUUAAAUUUCCCCAAUCCCUGCCCUUCUAAUCAAUCACAAAUCACGAAUGAAAAGAGCAGAUUCAAGUGGAAGAAUCAGCUCCAGGAGGCCAGUCUUUCCAUUAGCUCUGUUAGGCUCUCCACAGAGGUGGGACCUAUCUCUCCCCACCCACUCCGCCCCAGCAGGGGAAAAUGCAAACAAGUCACUUUUGAUGACCACCUGUCUGCAGUGGUAUUGGUCUCAAAGGAGACCUAAAGUGAAUGCCAAUUUCAGAAAAAUAAAGUUUGGGGAUAUGGUUUGGAUGUUUGUCCCCACCACCCCCACCCCACCAAUUUCAUGUUGAAGUGUGAUUCCCAAUGUUGGAUGUAGGUUCUGGUGGGAGGUGAUUGGAUCAUGGUGAUGGAUUCAUUAUGAAUGGUUUAGUGCCAUCCCCUUGGUGAUAAUGAGUUCUCACUUGGUUAGUUUUUGUGAGAUCUGGUUGUUUAAAAGAGCCCAGAACCUCCACCUGACUGUUUCUUGCUCUCUUUCUUGCCAUGUGACAUCACUGGCUCCCCCUUUGCCUUGUGCAAUGAUUAUAACCUUCCUGAGGCCCUUAUUGGAGGUAGAUGCCAGAGCCAUACUCGUACAGCCUGCACAACUGUGAGUCAAUUAAACCUCUUUUCUUUAUAAAUUACCCAGUCCCAGGUACUUAUAGCAAUGCAAAAACUAUCUAACACUCCUGGUUUCAAAUGAUUGGGAAGAAAUGGGAUUAGAGGUCUCUGAAGAUGCCAGGGCUCUGGAGAUUGCUGGGGGAAGGAUAGCCCUGUCCCUGUCAGGGGCCGCCUCCUGUGUGGAGGGCCUUAGGGCUCUGGAGAGAGAACCCCUGUGUUCAAAUUCUGCCUCUGCUACUUACCAAAUAUGGGACUUUGAGUAUUUCACCUGGUCUGAAUGGGCACCUACAUCCUAGUCCUGGAAACAGCUCAAAUAGGGACAGAGGAGGUGCUUAACAAAGGAUUAAGCCUACAACCUGGAUCUAUUCCUUGCCUUGAAGACCAGUUGAGGGCCCAGGAUGAGCCUCCUGUGGGUGCACUAGCUCUGCUUUAAUUGCCUAGUUCUAAAAUGAAUCUUCCUUUGCAUUGGAGAAAAAAACAACAGAGGCUACAGAAAGCCCCUGGGGUCUGUCUCAGCUGCUAUUGCUCUGACUGUGGUCUGUGAACCCUGGGUAGGCAAGACAUAGCUCCCACCUGUUCCUCUUUUCAUCUCUUGCUGGUGAGGAGCAGGUGUUCUUUCCAAGCUUCUCCUAUCUCUCUCCCCUCUUCUUACUUGUUCCAGUCUUUCUCCCUCCUCUUCCCUCUCCUCUUCUUUCUUCUUCCUUUGCCUUAUCCUCUUCCCUGCUUUCCUCUCUCCCAUUCUUUCCCCCUCCUCUGCUCUUUUCUCCUCUCUCUUUCUCUCCUCUCCCUUCCUCUUCCCUCUGCCUUCCUCUUCACUUCCCUUUCCUCCUACCCUUUCCCCUCCUUUCCCAUCUUCUCUCCUCCUCUACCCCCUCAUCCCUUCCUCUUCACCUCUCCCCUCUGUUUCCCUUCCUCUCCCUGCAACAUUCUCUCCUCUCCUCCUUCCUCCUUUCUCUUCUUCCUCAUUCUCCCCUCCUGUCCCUUCUGUAGCUCCCCUUAUCCCUUGUGGCAUCAGCAUCUCCCAGCCUCAAAACUGGCAGUCACUGUUUCAUCAGCUCUGGCCCCAGCCAAAACCUCCCUCCCUUCUCAGCCAGCAGCAGCUGCUGGACUCUUGAAGGGGGUAACAAUUAGUCAUUGGAGGGUGGCAGUGGUUGAGGGAGACAGAGCGUGCCAGCCUUUGCAGUCAUUGCUCUGUCACCUCAUGUACAACAGGCUUAACUCAACACGUGAUCUUCCCUUUGGCACCCCCCUCUCCCUCUGCCACUGCUGAGCUGUGUUGUGUGUAUUUGUCCUCCCUCGUCCCCACACCCACAACCAUCUUUAUGCCCUCACCUCCUCUGUGAGCUUUAUGCAGCCCUGCCUAGUGUGGCAGCUCCUUAAAGCACCUCUCUUGUUCUUCCCUUCCUUCCUGUGACCACUCCCUAUCCCUAAUAUGGGUCCCUCACUGCUUCUCCCCUGAAAUACUUGAUCCUGGGUUCCUCUCCCCACCUUCAUCUGUCCUGUCAACAAUGACUGGAGUGCAUUCCUGGUUCAUGUCCUCCUAGGGAUGAAAAAGAGUGACAUCUUUCCUCCCCACCACACUCCUAGAACAAAAGAUAGGUUAACAAGAGAAAAGCAUAACACAUUUAUUUAAUCAAGCUUUUAUGUGAUAUGGGAGACUUCAAAAAUGAAGACCCCAAGACCCAGGGGAAACUGUUUUUAUGCUUAGGUUUGAUGAAGAGUGGACAGCCAUGUACUCUUUUUGUAUUGGACAAAAGGGGUAUAAUCCAGUAGUAAUAGACUGAAUGGGAAAACCCAGCAAGGCCUGUCUGUUCAGAUUCUUCUUGGCCUCUCUGUUGUAGCAUUUCUUCCUUCUGGGUAUGAUGCAGGACCCCUCUGCAAUGAGGGCCUUAGGAUCUAAUAUCAGAUAAGGGUAGGUCAGAGAAUUUCUUUUUGGCCACCUCCUAGACAGAAGGGGAUGGGGAGGUCAGAGUAGUAUUUCCAGGGUUCAUGGCUUACUUUGGGGGAGAGGGGUUCCAGUUUUUAUGACCCACCUAGGGUACAAGGAAUUAUGUUUCUAUGACUUGCUUUGAGGGAGAAAUGAGGGGUGAGAGAUAGGAAGCAGGAAGUCAAAGAGACCAUGGUUCUGAGGUUGCUUCUGAGGUCUUCCAAUGUCCUUUAGUUCAAAGUACUCAGCACACCAAAGUGCUAUACUUUGGGGUAUCAUUUUCUGAGCUGCAGAAUCCCAGAUACAUCACUCUCCUCAGAAGCUCUGGCUCUCCUGGUGCACUGACUGAGACCAAACAAGUGUUCAUGACCUACCCAAGCCUGAGAGAACAGCCCUCCAGAUCCUGGUCCUCCUGCCUUCCACCAUGGGCAAGAACCCCCACCCCACCUCUCCCCAACCCUCCUUGCCUUUUUCUGCUUCCCGCCUUUGCUUGUGCUGGUUCCUUCUCCACCUGUUCCCAUCACCCAUACCCUGUUCCCAUCACCCACUGCCAUUAUCCAGGGCCUAAACAUCUCCCCCAUUAUGAAGCUGCUCUAGAGAGGGUGACGUCGCUUCUCUUAUAGGACUCGUUGGACACAGUCAGGGGCCCUAAUACUGCAUCAGCAGAAAGAUGUGUGAGUGGUUCACAUGACCUUUGACCACUGACUUUACUCACCUAUGGAGGUGGACUUGGGCUUUUGCUUGAGAAUGUGGGUGUGCAUAUGUGGGAAAAUAUGUUUAAAAUGAUCAUGCUUUGGAUGAACGAGGCUGGGUUUACCAGUGUAUUUGCUAAGCACUUGCAGAGGACUCGACUGGGGAGCUUGAAAUAAUACAUAUUCCAGGGCCCUGUCCCUGACCUCAGAACCAGAUUAGAGGAGCAGGGGAGGUGGCAGUAAUCUGUGUUUUUAAUAAGUCCUUCUGUUUGAUCUUCACAUUUGGAAAUGACUACAGUAAGUGAUCUCAGUAUUAAAACUCUUAGAAAGCAAAGAGUUUUCAUGAAGGAAAUAAUCACCUCAUUAUAUAUGUAUUACAAUGGAUAAAUAUAUGGGAUUGGGGAGGAGAAUCUGUAUAUAGGGAGAGAAUUGACUGUUGUUUCAGGCACUGUACCACAGGGUCUUAUUCAUUCCUUACUACUUCCCAUGCAGCAGGUUCUAUAAUCCUUACUUUACAGAUGAGAAAGGGGAGGCUCAGAGAGGGGAAGUAACUGCUGCAUAGUCACACAGCUGGAGAGUGACAAGGUCCAUGUUCAAACCAAGGGCUGAUGCCAAAGUCCAAGCUUGAACCACACUGCAAUGCUGCCCAUUUGUGAGCCUGAAUUUUUUUUUUAACUUUCAAGGACAGGUUUUCUUUAACUUUCAAGAACAGGCCCCACUGGUUAAUGGCUAACCCCAAUGUCUCUCAUGAUACUCCCUGGAGGUAGGGUUCUGAGGUUCCAAGAGUGCUUCCCACUGGCCUGCCCUGUCCUCAGUAUAAGCCCUAGAUGGGUCUUAAAAUUUAAUCUUUUCUACUGUAUUCCCGACUAGGCUUGUUGGUGCUGGAGUGAAGCAUUCCUGCCAUGGUUUGGUUCUGAAACAGGCUGAGGGAACAGAAAUAUGAGAGAGGCAACUUGACUUAUCCCAUCCACAGUGAGUGCUGGAAUGAAAAGAAGGCCCUGGCCCAAAAUAGAUGCCCAGGCUUUUCAAUGGGACCUAAAAUUUUACUACUUUGAGUUCAGAUGCAUCUUCUUUGAAAAAGAAUUAUCAGUAGAAUGAAUACAGCCACCAUGAGUCUUUCAUACUAUAGGUAAACUAAUUCAUUCAGUUACUUUUCAUUUGUGGAAAAAAUAUACUGAGACUAUUCCACUUGGAAAAUGAGAGUUUUAAAGUAUAUUGUUGCCAUGUAUAAUUGAAAAAGUGGCAUGCACAUGUUGGGAAUGAGUUCAUUGCUUCCAAAGCACACUGUGGAUGUGGAACUCUUCUGGGUGAAGGGGAUUCCAUGGUUUCAGGCUGGGUGUCUUUGCUGGAGGACUUGUCAGAGCUUUAAAAAUGCUAAUUCUCAUUGUGAAUUUCUAGGAAGGGGAUAUAGUUCUCCAAAUUUAUUUGACCAUAAACCUUUUCAUGGAAUCUUAACCCAGGAUCAAAAAUAAAUACUAACCCCUUACCUGCGCAGAAUACUUCACAGUGAGUCCCCAGUGGGCUUCAGACACAACCUCAUUCAAUAGGGUUUUCUUGAGGGACAGAUGAGAGGUCAUUUGAGCCUGUGGCGAGCAAGGGCAAGCCUGGCGAGAGUGAUAGGAGUGGGGAUGGGCUCUUGGGGAAGCUCUAGGAAGGUGGGGACAAAGGGCCCACUUCACUGGUCCCUCUACUUGGUUCCCUGUCUGCCCCAGGAGAGGAGGCCUGCACUUCCUCAGGAGGCUCCCCUUCCUCCCCAGCGCCUCUCACUGACUUGACCAAAAAGGCCAUGCAUGUGAGAGAACUCCGCCUCCUCCGUUCUCCCGGCUAACAUGAGGCUCCAGCCAGGCACUUUUCUGGCUUUCUUGCUGCAGGAACAUGGCUUGGUUGUUUGGGAGCACAGCUUGCCAGGAGGCCCAUAGCAUGAUGGCUUGAUCAAAGGGCUUGAGCCAAGGCUGGCCCUGGGCCACAUGGCUGGAUUGCAGCCUUUCUAUCCAUCCCCCUAAUCCCAUUUAGGAUGUUCAGGAUCAAUGAAAAGAUCUGAUCAUUCAAAUCAUACCAAAGUGUGCUAACACCAUGUGCUACCCCUCUGGGGAUAAACCUGCUUUACAAAGAGAAUGCUUGCCUAAUGGUGGGACAGAAGGAUGAAGGACAUGCCUUUUACCUGUGGGACCCCAUGAAUUUAGGACCCCGUGAAUGAUCCAUCACAAAUCCGUCUGCAUUAACCACUCUGUCCUUCCAGGUGCACUAUUCCAUCUGCGUAUCCAGCAGCAAAAUACAAUUCUGCUCAGAAUAAUGAACCUAAUGUUCUGAAGGCACCAGAAGGUUGUGGAAGUAUUGACCUAUCUCUAGUUAGCAUCUGCUCACCAGGACCCCUGAGACUGUGGAGGGGGUAACUCAGCAGAAGGACCAGGGCUAACAGGGACUGAAUCCUUACCACAUACCAGGGCCCGUUCCAAACACUUUGCAUGUUUUAAAUUGCUUAAUCCUCACAAUGACCCAGUGGAGGAGAUGAUAGUUUUGUCUCUUCUUCAUAUUAUGAUAGAGGAAAAUGAGGACAGAGAGGCCAAAUGACAGGCCCAUGGUCAACCAGCUAAGAAGUGAAGGGGCAGGACUUGAAUUCAGGCCUCCUGGCCCCAGAGUUUGCAGCACCUGGCAUGUGGCAGUAGUUGAGAAGUUACACUGAGUCUGAGUAGACCUGUAGUUAGUGACCCCCUCCACAGCACAGGGCUGAUGGACAGUGGGCUGGCUUGGGCCAAGAGCAGCUGGCACUGCAGAUCUGUUGGAAUAGCUCUGCCCAGGCUGCCCAGGGCAAGUUGCAGACUGGGAGGCAUAUGUAUCCUAAAAUAGAACUUUUGAGAAAUAAUGUGCAUCCAAAGGAAUGAGUCUCAGACGAGGAUGUUCAAGAAUCAGUAGCAGAUGCUGUGCGGGCCACAGAAUGUUUCUAGGUAAAAUGCCCUCCUCCCCACCCCCCAUGUCCCCCACAACCAACAAACAAGCUAAGAAAAAAGAAACAAAAUAAAAUAAAUUGAAACAAAUUAAUAAACAUGCAAAAACCACACAGACAGUCAUCUCUUCUGUCUGUGGGUAAAACUGACAGCUCUAGAAAUAAACGGAGAUCCAUAUAAAGGGUUUCAAAAUAUGGGAGUAAUUUUUGUUUUUCCAUUUAAUGCUAGGUUUCAAAGGAGGGGAAUAUGUCUAUCACUGCUACAUAGGCAUUCUGUUUAAAACCCACCCAGAUGCCUUAAUGGGGCUCUGUCAAGAGUGGGAAGGUCCCCACAGCUGUUUCUCAAAGCCAGUAGACCACUCAGUGUGGGCAGUGGGGAGCUUGUGCUUGGCAGGCCUCCCACGUCGCCAUCAUUUCUUUUUGAACACUUGACGGCACACCUGGUCACCACAGGUCAGCUCCUGCAACGUCAGAAAGUGGGUGAGGGUCUAACAAGCCAGGCCUUUCUUCUGCCCAGCCCUCAGCCCCCUUGGUAUCUGGGGGUGGGAGGUUGGAAUAAAGAGGACACUUAGGUAUUCUGGGCAAAGUGCAUCUCACAGACCCAAUCAGCGGGCAUGCCCUGCAGGUAGCAGUAAUUUGAUUUUGACACUUGAAUUGAGCUUGAACAACUAUAAAAAUGAAAAAUGCAAAGAAAUGACCCUCUUGGGCAGGAUUUCUCCUACUCCCAUGAUUAAAGUAACAUGACCUAAUUUAUAAAAGGCAGCGAAGCCAUGAGGAAGGAAAGGACCUAGUGUAGAGAAGUGUUUGGAAGGUAGGGGCCUGAAAAGAUGCUGGCCAGUGAGCUGCCCCUCCACCCUGUGGGCUUUCUGGCCUCUGGUGAUUAGAACAUUGGCUGGUGGUGGCGCAGGUACCCGCAGGGUGUGAGGUGCAGAAGGGCUUUCCCAGGCUUGCCUGUGCAGCCGACAAGGUCCCGCUUUUCAUCCAGAUAGAGGGAGCCCAGGCCUUAUUUGACCCUCACUGAUCCUCGAAGGAGGAGGGAAAAACAUGAGUGUGGGAAGGACCACCACAAUCAUUGCAGUUGACUGUGAAUCCAUUGUCUAAGCCACAGAGAGCACUGGGGAUUGUAUUACAAUUAGAAAAAUCCACCAUCCAAACCAGUGCAGGUAGGGAAAGCCAUCAAUGCAAAACACGAUAAAUGCCUCCCAUAUAUCAUUAGCUGACAUUGCCUUCAAAAUAAAG